GGACUACCGGGGUAUCUAAUCCCGUUUGCUCCCCUGGCUUUCGCGCCUCAGCGUCAGAAGAGGUCCAGCGUGCCGCCUUCGCCACCGGAGUUCCUAUUGAUAUCAACGCAUUUCACCGCUCCACCAAUAGUUCCGCACGCCCCUACCUCCCUCGAGAUACCCAGUAUCCGCGGCAGUUCGACAGUUGAGCUGCCGGAUUUCACCACGGACUUGAAUACCCGCCUACGCGCCCUUUAAGCCCAGUGAUUCCGAAUAACGUUUGCUCGGUUCGUCUUACCGCGGCUGCUGGCAC
RNAcentral lists this ribosomal RNA (292 nucleotides) under uncultured bacterium. RNAcentral's name for it is "partial 16S ribosomal RNA". The record is from RNAcentral. RNAcentral also lists the same sequence under 2 other names.